This 497-nucleotide ribosomal RNA is filed under the name uncultured bacterium. RNAcentral describes it as "partial 16S ribosomal RNA". It matches the Rfam family "Bacterial small subunit ribosomal RNA", at positions 28 to 507 of the family's 1533-position model. The record is from RNAcentral.
GAUGAACGCUGGCGGCGUGCCUAAUACAUGCAAGUCGAGCGAACAGACGAGGAGCUUGCUCCUCUGACGUUAGCGGCGGACGGGUGAGUAACACGUGGAUAACCUACCUAUAAGACUGGGAUAACUUCGGGAAACCGGAGCUAAUACCGGAUAAUAUAUUGAACCGCAUGGUUCAAUAGUGAAAGACGGUUUUGCUGUCACUUAUAGAUGGAUCCGCGCCGCAUUAGCUAGUUGGUAAGGUAACGGCUUACCAAGGCAACGAUGCGUAGCUGACCUGAGAGGGUGAUCGGCCACACUGGAACUGAGACACGGUCCAGACUCCUACGGGAGGCAGCAGUAGGGUAUCUUCCGCAAUGGGCGAAAGCCUGACGGAGCAACGCCGCGUGAGUGAUGAAGGUCUUCGGAUCGUAAAACUCUGUUAUUAGGGAAGAACAAAUGUGUAAGUAACUAUGCACGUCUUGACGGUACCUAAUCAGAAAGCCACGGCUAACUACGUG